AGUAACGCGUGAGCAACCUGCCUAUGACAGUGGGAUAGCCUCGGGAAACCGGGAUUAAUACCGCAUAAAAUCGUAGAAACACAUGUUUCAACGGUCAAAGAUUUAUCGGUCAUAGAUGGGCUCGCGUCUGAUUAGCUAGUUGGUGAGAUAACAGCCCACCAAGGUGACGAUCAGUAGCCGGUCUGAGAGGAUGAACGGCCACAUUGGAACUGAGACACGGUCCAA
Molecule: ribosomal RNA, 225 nt
Filed under: uncultured Eubacteriales bacterium
Lineage: Bacteria; Bacillati; Bacillota; Clostridia; Eubacteriales
Description: uncultured Clostridiales bacterium partial 16S ribosomal RNA
Rfam family: Bacterial small subunit ribosomal RNA
Source: RNAcentral